Molecule: transfer RNA, 74 nt
Filed under: Rhodospirillaceae bacterium
Lineage: Bacteria; Pseudomonadati; Pseudomonadota; Alphaproteobacteria; Rhodospirillales; Rhodospirillaceae
Also listed under: 1 other name
Description: tRNA-Gln
Rfam family: tRNA
About the family: Transfer RNA (tRNA) molecules are approximately 80 nucleotides in length. Their secondary structure includes four short double-helical elements and three loops (D, anti-codon, and T loops). Further hydrogen bonds mediate the characteristic L-shaped molecular structure. tRNAs have two regions of fundamental functional importance: the anti-codon, which is responsible for specific mRNA codon recognition, and the 3' end, to which the tRNAs corresponding amino acid is attached (by aminoacyl-tRNA synthetases). tRNAs cope with the degeneracy of the genetic code in two manners: having more than one tRNA (with a specific anti-codon) for a particular amino acid; and 'wobble' base-pairing, i.e. permitting non-standard base-pairing at the 3rd anti-codon position.
Source: RNAcentral
UGGGGUAUGGUGUAACGGUAGCACGCCGGACUCUGACUCCGUCAGUCUUGGUUCAAAUCCAGGUACCCCAGCCA